Bubalus bubalis (water buffalo) is the source of this 974-nucleotide long non-coding RNA. RefSeq lists it as uncharacterized. The record is from RefSeq and is a predicted model, not a curated record. The transcript is spliced from 3 exons. Lineage: Eukaryota; Metazoa; Chordata; Mammalia; Artiodactyla; Bovidae.
UGCAUUCUUUGCCAUCUGAGCUACCAGGGAAGCCCUAUGGCCACCCACAAAUGGUGACCUGAAUCCAGAUGAGUUGGAGCUGAGACAGAGAAUAUACAGGAACAUGAGACAGCCCCGAGGAGGCUCCAGACCCACCCUGGGCCUCAUGGAAGGCUUCCUGGAGGAGGAGGUGUCUUCUUGGCUGAGGAAGUGGAAGGUGAGAGUGCUGCAGACAGAGGAGCGGCACUUAUGAGGGUCUGAGGUAAGAGCAGUGUGGGGUGUUGACAGGCUGUCAACGAAUCUGGCUGAGGUUGGGGAGGUGGGUGGGGCCAGAUCGUGCAGGGGCUGUGGGUCCUGGGAAUCUUGGGGAGUCCUGGGGAGCCCCAGGGAGUCGUCCAGCUGGGACGUGUCGUGACUGAGGAGGCUUUCCCUGCCCUGGCCAGGCAGGGCCCCUGCUCAGUCCCCACAGGGUGUCUGAGGCCCCCUGGGAGCUCCCGGACAGUUUGCUACCUCCCUGUUAUUCUAGAUGGAAGAAGGUUCUGGAAGGUGGGAUCUGGACUGAUUCAUUCCCUUCUGUGGCCUGGCACCUAGAUGGGUGCGGGCAGAGGCCCCGGUAAACAGGUCGACCCUGAUGGGGGCCCUCUCAGAGCUGAUCUGAAGGUCGUGAGGAGUCGGUGAGGAGCAGCAUGCAUGCAGCCGCCCCCGAACCCAUCUCCCCCCACUUCCUGGCCUGGCUGGGACCCAGCGCGGCGUCCCCCUCCUCUGCUCGGCCGAGGGCCUCCAAGAAAAGUGUGCACAUCCUACAGAGGCUUCUCACCAAGGGACAAACUCAUCGAGUCAGCAUCCAAAUGAAUGUUCCAGAAUGAAACAGAACAUCCCCAAAGCCCCCUAUAUGUCUCCUCCCAGUAAAUCUUCCCAUGGUUAACGAACCCCUGUGCAGAGUUCUAACCCUAGAGCUUAAUUUUACUGCUUCUGGACUUUAUAUAAAUGGAAUC